Molecule: ribosomal RNA, 295 nt
Filed under: uncultured bacterium
Lineage: Bacteria
Description: partial 16S ribosomal RNA
Rfam family: Bacterial small subunit ribosomal RNA
Source: RNAcentral
CGUUCCCUACGGGGGGCAGCAGUGGGGGAUAUUGCACAAUGGGGGAAACCCUGAUGCAGCGACGCCGCGUGAGUGAAGAAGUAUUUCGGUACGUAAAGCUCUAUCAGCAGGGAAGAAUAAUGACGGUACCUGACUAAGAAGCCCCGGCUAACUACGUGCCAGCAGCCGCGGUAAUACGUAGGGGGCACGCGUUAUCCGGAUUUACUGGGUGUAAAGGGAGCGUAGACGGCUGUGCAAGUCUGAAGUGAAGUGCCGGUGAUCACCCCCGGAACUGCUUUGGAAACUGUACAGCUCG